GGAGGCUUGCAGCAUCCUGACUGUAAAGAAUAUUUAAAAGUGAAAAAGAGUAAUUAAAAGAUAAAGAUAAGAUAUAUUUGGGAAAAGCUGAUCGAAAACAAAAAGGGGGAAAAAAAGAUAAAUGGUGGGAAAAACGCUAAUCACAUGGUUGAAGAAUCUUAAUUAAGCUUUACCAUUUUAUGCUUAGAAAACGCUAAUCGGAGGCUAAUAAGGUCAUUCUAAUUAAGAAUGAUUCAAAGACAAGUAUGCUUGCUCAUAUAGAUGACAAAUUCACCAAAUAAACUUUGAAAAACGAGGUAUA
Molecule: unclassified non-coding RNA, 301 nt
Filed under: Hevea brasiliensis (rubber tree)
Lineage: Eukaryota; Viridiplantae; Streptophyta; Magnoliopsida; Malpighiales; Euphorbiaceae
Source: RNAcentral